CAGUAGCCGCGGGAAUACGGAGGGUGCAAGCGUUAAUCGGAAUUACUGGGCGUAAAGCGUGCGUAGGCGGUUCGUUAAGUCUGUUGUGAAAGCCCCGGGCUCAACCUGGGAAUGGCAAUGGAUACUGGCGAGCUAGAGUGUGUCAGAGGAUGGUGGAAUUCCCGGUGUAGCGGUGAAAUGCGUUGAGAUCGGAAAGAACACCAACGGCGAAAGCACUCUGCUGGGCCGACGCUGACACUGAGAGACGAAAGCUAGGGGAGCAAAUGGGAUUAGAUACCCGUGUAGUCCCUGUCUCUUAUAC
RNAcentral lists this ribosomal RNA (301 nucleotides) under uncultured bacterium. Its description in RNAcentral is "partial 16S ribosomal RNA". It matches the Rfam family "Bacterial small subunit ribosomal RNA", at positions 509 to 807 of the family's 1533-position model. The record is from RNAcentral.